UUACAACUUUCAACAACGGAUCUCUUGGUUCUGGCAUCGAUGAAGAACGCAGCGAAAUGCGAUAAGUAGUGUGAAUUGCAGAAUUCAGUGAAUCAUCGAAUCUUUGAACGCACAUUGCGCCCCUUGGUAUUNCCAUGGGGCAUGCCUGUUCGAGCGUCAUUU
This 162-nucleotide ribosomal RNA is filed under the name Epicoccum nigrum. RNAcentral's name for it is "5.8S ribosomal RNA". It matches the Rfam family "5.8S ribosomal RNA". From Rfam's summary of the family: 5.8S ribosomal RNA (5.8S rRNA) is a component of the large subunit of the eukaryotic ribosome. It is transcribed by RNA polymerase I as part of the 45S precursor that also contains 18S and 28S rRNA. Functionally, it is thought that 5.8S rRNA may be involved in ribosome translocation. The record is from RNAcentral. Lineage: Eukaryota; Fungi; Ascomycota; Dothideomycetes; Pleosporales; Didymellaceae.